RNAcentral lists this ribosomal RNA (274 nucleotides) under uncultured bacterium. RNAcentral describes it as "partial 16S ribosomal RNA". It matches the Rfam family "Bacterial small subunit ribosomal RNA", at positions 523 to 796 of the family's 1533-position model. The record is from RNAcentral.
ACACGUAAGGGGCAAGCGUUGUUCGGAAUUAUUGGGCGUAAAGGGCGCGUAGGCGGUUUUACAAGUCUGGUGUGAAAGACCUCAGCUUAACUGAGGGACCGCGCUGGAAACUGUAAGACUAGAAUCUAGGAGGGGAAGCUGGAAUUCCUGGUGUAGGGGUGAAAUCUGUAGAUAUCAGGAAGAACACCGGUGGCGAAGGCGAGCUUCUGGCCAUAGAUUGACGCUGAGGCGCGAAAGCGUGGGGAGCGAACAGGAUGAGAAACCCCAGUAGUCC